RNAcentral lists this ribosomal RNA (521 nucleotides) under Lienella sp. BFS-2018. Its description in RNAcentral is "partial 16S large subunit ribosomal RNA". The stretch from base 390 to 521 matches the Rfam family "Archaeal large subunit ribosomal RNA", at positions 2542 to 2673 of the family's 2987-position model. Lineage: Eukaryota; Metazoa; Arthropoda; Insecta; Hymenoptera; Ichneumonidae. The record is from RNAcentral.
CAUGUCUUUUUGUUUAUAAUAAAAAGUCUAAUCUGCUCCAUGAUUAAUUUUUAAAUAGCUGCAGUAUUUUGACUGUACUAAGGUAGCAUAAUCAAUAGUUUUUUAAUUGAAAGCUGGAAUGAAGGAUUGAAUGAAAUAUUUGUUGUCUCAAUUUUAUUUAUGAAAGAAUUUUAUUUUUAGUAAAAAAUCUAAAUUAAGUUUAAAAGACGAGAAGACCCUAUAGAUUUUUAUAUUUUUUAUAUAAUUUAAGAUUAAUAAAAUUUAUUUAUUAUAUAAAUGAAUAUUAAGUUGGGGAAAUUAAUUAAUUUAAAAAAUUUAAUUUAUAAUUUAACUAUAAUUAUUGGAUAAAUGAUUAAUUUAUAUUUAAUAUAAGAAUAAAUUACCUUAGGGAUAACAGCGUAAUUUUUUUUGAGAGUUCUAAUUGAUAAAAAAGUUUGCGACCUCGAUGUUGAAUUAAGAUAAAAUUUUAAUGUAGAAGUUAAAAAUUUUUGGUUUGUUCAACCAUUAAAAUCUUACGUGAU